Molecule: ribosomal RNA, 255 nt
Filed under: uncultured bacterium
Lineage: Bacteria
Description: partial 16S ribosomal RNA
Rfam family: Bacterial small subunit ribosomal RNA
Source: RNAcentral
UACGGGGGGAGCAAGCGUUGUUCGGAUUUACUGGGCGUAAAGGGCGCGUAGGCGGCCACCGCAAGUCAAUUGUGAAAUCUCCGGGCUUAACUCGGAAAGGUCAACUGAUACUGCGGGGCUAGAGUGCGGAAGGGGCAACUGGAAUUCUCGGUGUAGCGGUGAAAUGCGUAGAUAAUCGAGAGGAACACCUGCGGCGAAGGCGGGUUGCUGGGCUGAUACUGACGCUGAGGCGCGAAAGCGUGGGGAGCGAACAGG